AGAGAAUUGCUUAAAAACCCUAGAGGUGGAGCUGGCAGUGAGCCAAGAUCGCACCACUGCACUCCAGCCUGGGUGACAGAG
Molecule: small nuclear RNA, 81 nt
Filed under: Homo sapiens (human)
Lineage: Eukaryota; Metazoa; Chordata; Mammalia; Primates; Hominidae
Description: partial ncRNA
Source: RNAcentral